RNAcentral lists this ribosomal RNA (253 nucleotides) under uncultured bacterium. Its description in RNAcentral is "partial 16S ribosomal RNA". It matches the Rfam family "Bacterial small subunit ribosomal RNA", at positions 524 to 776 of the family's 1533-position model. The record is from RNAcentral.
UACGGAGGGAGCUAGCGUUGUUCGGAAUUACUGGGCGUAAAGCGUGCGUAGACGGCUAUCUAAGUCGGGUGUGAAAGCCCCGGGCUCAACCUGGGAAUUGCAUUCGAGACUGAAUAGCUAGGGUACGGUAGAGGGAAGCGGAAUUUCCGGUGUAGCGGUGAAAUGCGUAGAUAUCGGAAGGAACAUCAGUGGCGAAAGCGGCUUCCUGGACCAGUACCGACGUUCAGGCACGAAAGCGUGGGGAGCAAACAGG